UACGGAGGGUGCAAGCGUUAUCCGGAUUUACUGGGCUUAAAGGGCGCGUAGGCGGGUCUGUAAGUCAGUGGUGAAAUCUCCGAGCUUAACUCGGAAACUGCCAUUGAUACUAUAGGUCUUGAAUUAUCUGGAGGUAAGCGGAAUAUGUCAUGUAGCGGUGAAAUGCUUAGAUAUGACAUAGAACACCAAGUGCGAAGGCAGCUUACUACGGAUCGAUUGACACUGAGGCACGAAAGCGUGGGGAUCAAACAGG
Molecule: ribosomal RNA, 253 nt
Filed under: uncultured bacterium
Lineage: Bacteria
Description: partial 16S ribosomal RNA
Rfam family: Bacterial small subunit ribosomal RNA
Source: RNAcentral